AGGAUGAACGCUGGCGGCGUGCCUAACACAUGCAAGUCGAACGUCCUGUCUCGCAAGAGGCAGGGAGUGGCGGACGGGUGAGUACCACGUGGGUUAUCUACCGUGAGGUGAGGAAUACCGGCGAGAAAUCGCCGACAAGACCGCAUAGGCUCGAUGCAAGUCGAGCAAAGCUCGCUCGCAAGAGGGAGCGCCACACGAGGAGCCUGCGCCCGAUUAGCUGGCUGGUGGAGUAAUGGUUCACCAGGGCGACGAUCGGUAGCUGGUCUGAGAGGACGAUCAGCCACACUGGGAUUGAGAACGGCCCAGACUCCUACGGGGGGCAGCAGUGAGGAAUUUUCGUCAAUGGGGGCAACCCUGAACGAGCAACGCCGCGUGCAGGAAGAAGGUUUUCGGAUCGUAAACUGCUUUUCUCGGGGAAGAGAACGGACGGUACCCGAGGAAGAAGCCCCGGCUAACUACGUGCCAGCAGCCGCGGU
Molecule: ribosomal RNA, 476 nt
Filed under: uncultured bacterium
Lineage: Bacteria
Description: SSU rRNA
Rfam family: Bacterial small subunit ribosomal RNA
Source: RNAcentral